Molecule: long non-coding RNA, 806 nt
Organism: Halichondria panicea
Lineage: Eukaryota; Metazoa; Porifera; Demospongiae; Suberitida; Halichondriidae
Exons: 2
Source: RefSeq, a predicted model, not a curated record
UAUAUAAUUAUAGGGAACUAUGUGGCUGAAAGACCCUAGAUCUAAACGUGUUGAGUGCAAUAGGUGGUAUGCUCUCCGACAAGCAUAUGCGCGCAGCCCACCAGUUAUUAUCGAUGCAAUUCCUUAAGUUUGAAGGCUGCUAUAAUACUCUCUUGGCCCAAUUAAAGGCAUUUCCACCAGUUUCCAAUAAUCAAGGCCCAGCUGUGCAAAUCUUCUUUGUUGAAGAACAACAGCACUGGAUUGCCACUUCUCUGUUUAAGGGUGAACUGUAUUUGUACGACAGCUGCUUCAAUGGAACGCUUUCCCCAAGUACUGAGCUCCAGAUAGCACAAGUGUAUAGCCCAUUAAUUCAAUGCAAUGGGCUGUUGAUUUCUGUGGUGGCUCUCCAGCAGCAAGAGGGUGCUAACAACUGCGGACUAUUUAGCAUUGCUGCUGCAUAUCACGCUGCUAUGAACGAUAAUGUGGAUUCUCUAGUGUUUGAUGAGGCCAAAAUGAGAGCACAUCUCAUUAAGUGCUUUGAGAAGGGCAAACUCUCACGGUUCCCUCGCACAAAGAAAGCGAUGCCAAAAAGACCAACACCACAAACCAUUGCCAUUACAAUAUACUGCAUGUGCAAGAGACCGGACUCUUUUGAGGAUAUGGUCAUGUGUGACAAAUGUAGUGAGUGGUAUCACUAUCGCUGUGCCAAAAUUCGCAAAGAACCAGUAGGUAAUUGGUUUUGUUCUGGUUGCAUCACUUUAUGAUUUGUGCACUUUUGGUUAUAUUUAUUGUACUUCUUUCUCUUGCAUUGUUGUAUAUAUUGAGUA